GACGAACGCUGGCGGCGUGCCUAACACAUGCAAGUCGAACGGUCUAACACUUGUGUUAGAUAGUGGCGGACGGGUGAGUAACGCGUGGGUAACCUACCCAUUAAACCGGGACAACCCUUGGAAACGAGGGCUAAUACCGGAUACGUUUACCGAAGGACAUCCUUUGGUAAAGAAAGGUGGCCUCUGAACAUGCUAUCGAUAAUGGAUGGACCCGCGUCUGAUUAGCUAGUUGGUGGGGUAAAGGCCUACCAAGGCGACGAUCAGUAGCCGGCCUGAGAGGGUGAACGGCCACACUGGGACUGAGACACGGCCCAGACUCCUACGGGAGGCAG
RNAcentral lists this ribosomal RNA (332 nucleotides) under uncultured Bacillota bacterium. Its description in RNAcentral is "bacterial SSU rRNA". It matches the Rfam family "Bacterial small subunit ribosomal RNA", at positions 28 to 351 of the family's 1533-position model. The record is from RNAcentral. Lineage: Bacteria; Bacillati; Bacillota.